UGCAAGUCGAACGGAGUCUGCAUGAAACCUAGUGAUUGUAGACUUAGUGGCGGACGGGUGAGUAACGCGUGGGUAACCUGCCUUGUACUGGGGGACAACAGUUGGAAACGACUGCUAAUACCGCAUAAGCGCACAGCUUCGCAUGAAGCAGUGUGAAAAACUGAGGUGGUACAAGAUGGACCCGCGUCUGAUUAGCUGGUUGGUGAGGUAACGGCUCACCAAGGCGACGAUCAGUAGCCGGCCUGAGAGGGUGAACGGCCACAUUGGGACUGAGACACGGCCCAAACUCCUACGGGAGGCAGCAGUGGGGAAUAUUGCACAAUGGGGGAAACCCUGAUGCAGCGACGCCGCGUGAGUGAAGAAGUAUUUCGGUAUGUAAAGCUCUAUCAGCAGGGAAGAAAGAAAUGACGGUACCUGACUAAGAAGCCCCGGCUAACUACGUGCCAGCAGCCGCGGUAAUACGUAGGGGGCAAGCGUUAUCCGGAUUUACUGGGUGUAAAGGGAGCGUAGACGGCAUGGCAAGUCUGAAGUGAAAUGCCAGGGCUUAACCCUGGAACUGCUUUGGAAACUGUCUAGCUAGAGUGCAGGAGAGGUAAGUGGAAUUCCUAGUGUAGCGGUGAAAUGCGUAGAUAUUAGGAGGAACACCAGUGGCGAAGGCGGCUUACUGGACUGUAACUGACGUUGAGGCUCGAAGGCGUGGGGAGCAAACAGGAUUAGAUACCCUGGUAGUCCACGCGGUAAACGAUGAAUACUAGGUGUAGGAGGGCAAAGCCCUUCGGUGCCGCAGCAAACGCAAUAAGUAUUCCACCUGGGGAGUACGUUCGCAAGAAUGAAACUCAAAGGA
RNAcentral lists this ribosomal RNA (844 nucleotides) under uncultured bacterium. RNAcentral's name for it is "bacterial SSU rRNA". It matches the Rfam family "Bacterial small subunit ribosomal RNA", at positions 56 to 908 of the family's 1533-position model. The record is from RNAcentral.